CUACGUGCCAGCAGCCGCGGUAAUACGUAGGUGGCAAGCGUUGUCCGGAAUUAUUGGGCGUAAAGCGCGCGCAGGCGGAUUGGUCAGUCUAUCUUAAAAGUUCGGGGCUUAACCCCGUGAUGGGAUGGAAACUGCCAAUCUAGAGUAUCGGAGAGGAAAGUGGAAUUCCUAGUGUAGCGGUGAAAUGCGUAGAUAUUAGGAAGAACACCAGUGGCGAAGGCGACUUUCUGGACGAAAACUGACGCUGAGGCGCGAAAGCCAGGGGAGCGAACGGGAUUAGAUACCCCGGUAGUCCUGGCCGUAAACGAUGGGUACUAGGUGUAGGAGGUAUCGACCCCUUCUGUGCCGGAGUUAACGCAAUAAGUACCCCGCCUGGGGAGUACGACCGCAAGGUUGAAACUCAAAGGAAUUGACGGGGGCCCGCACAAGCGGUGGAGUAUGUGGUUUAAUUCGACGCAACGCGAAGAACCUUACCAGGUCUUGACAU
This 487-nucleotide ribosomal RNA is filed under the name uncultured bacterium. Its description in RNAcentral is "bacterial SSU rRNA". It matches the Rfam family "Bacterial small subunit ribosomal RNA", at positions 501 to 987 of the family's 1533-position model. The record is from RNAcentral.